Molecule: ribosomal RNA, 236 nt
Filed under: uncultured bacterium
Lineage: Bacteria
Description: partial 16S ribosomal RNA
Rfam family: Bacterial small subunit ribosomal RNA
Source: RNAcentral
GAUCAUGGCUCAGGACGAACGCUGGCGGCGCGCCUAACACAUGCAAGUCGAACGAGAGAGAGGGAGCUUGCUUCCUUCGAUCGAGUGGCGAACGGGUGAGUAACGCGUGAGGAACCUGCCUCAAAGAGGGGGACAACAGUUGGAAACGACUGCUAAUACCGCAUAAGCCCACGGCUCGGCAUCGAGCAGAGGGAAAAGGAGCAAUCCGCUUUGAGAGUGGCCUCGCGUCCGAUUAG